Long non-coding RNA from Chelonia mydas (Green sea turtle), 702 nucleotides. RefSeq lists it as uncharacterized. Lineage: Eukaryota; Metazoa; Chordata; Testudines; Cheloniidae. The transcript is spliced from 3 exons. The record is from RefSeq and is a predicted model, not a curated record.
UUCCUUCCAUCGUAUCAUAACUUCUCUUUAAACUGAUUUCAUGAGCAGUCCUUGGACUCCUGGUUCCUUCUCGGACGUUCUUAAUAGCUGCUAAAUUAUACAGAUGUGUAGUAAGGAAAAGUUUUCCUACCAGGUUUGGCAGACUCCUGUUGCCUCGGCAGGCCAAGAGAUAUGGAUCCCACAGAUGGCUUUGCUGGUUCUUGACUAUAAGAAGCUUGACUAUGGGAUGUUAAGUUAACUCAAUAAGUUUGAUUUAAGGAUCUAAGUUGGUCCACCCAAGGAUGUACAACAUUGGAAGAGAUUUUAUCACUGACUCUCAAAGCAUUCGCGGACCAGACGACAGCACCUCUAGCAUCACUGCAUCCACCACAUUAAUUCUAGACUAGUUUACUGCCUUGCCACAGUUCCAGGUUCUUGGUACACCCUUUCCUAACAGAAGGGCUUCCAGCAGGAUGCAUUUUUCUCUUCACACAACUACAUGUAAGGUACUAUAGGGCAGUUUGUAAUUUGCUUGCUAAUUACUUUAUGAAACCUAUUCCAUGAAAUUGGUGAUCAACGUACACAGAGAUGAAACAUUAGCAAAGGGUCUAGUAGAUUCCAGUAAUUGAUUCUUGCAGUUUAUAAUCCAGAAGUUGACCCAUGUUUCAAUAUCUAGGGUUGCUUAGUUCUUGAGUUUUCAAAAAAGACGUCGCCUACCUUCCC